CUACUUUGCUGACGAGCGGCGGACGGGUGAGUAAUGCUUGGGAACAUGCCUUGAGGUGGGGGACAACAGUUGGAAACGACUGCUAAUACCGCAUAAUGUCUACGGACCAAAGGGGGCUUCGGCUCUCGCCUUUAGAUUGGCCCAAGUGGGAUUAGCUAGUUGGUGAGGUAAUGGCUCACCAAGGCGACGAUCCCUAGCUGGUUUGAGAGGAUGAUCAGCCACACUGGGACUGAGACACGGCCCAGACUCCUACGGGAGGCAGCAGUGGGGAAUAUUGCACAAUGGGCGCAAGCCUGAUGCAGCCAUGCCGCGUGUGUGAAGAAGGCCUUCGGGUUGUAAAGCACUUUCAGUCAGGAGGAAAGGUUAGUAGUUAAUACCUGCUAGCUGUGACGUUACUGACAGAAGAAGCACCGGCUAACUCCGUGCCAGCAGCCGCGGUAAUACGGAGGGUGCGAGCGUUAAUCGGAAUUACU
Molecule: ribosomal RNA, 473 nt
Filed under: marine bacterium pex_12
Lineage: Bacteria
Description: bacterial SSU rRNA
Rfam family: Bacterial small subunit ribosomal RNA
Source: RNAcentral